Molecule: long non-coding RNA, 424 nt
Organism: Cheilinus undulatus (humphead wrasse)
Lineage: Eukaryota; Metazoa; Chordata; Actinopteri; Labriformes; Labridae
Exons: 3
Source: RefSeq, a predicted model, not a curated record
GUUUUGAAUUUCCGUCGCUAGAGAGCAACAAAGACCGCAAACUUUCACGAAAGGACUUGAGCAGGCAUCAGUGAAUACUGUUACAUGUCAUUUUAGUUGUUCACUGUGUGAUAUUUAUCAGCGGUUGGCAUGCUAGCUAAUAGUUGUUUUAUCCGGUAGACACUGAAAAGGCAUUUAAUUGGAGAACUUUCUGGAAACCCAUCGUAGAUUUGCACAAAUACAUUCAGCAAGAGGAAGAAGGAAGAAAAGGAUGGAAAAAGGAUGAAAGCAAGAGCACUGGGCAACCGACAGAGGGAACAAGACUCGUCUCGUGUACGACGGCUACGGGUUCUGGACUGGCGGAUUGGGCCAGGCGCGGGGCCUGGAGUUUCUGAACUUGGAGGGUUGAACCCUGACCCAGAGGAGAAGCUGGGGCCGGGCAUGU